GACGAACGCUGGCGGCGUGCCUAAUACAUGCAAGUAGAACGCUGAAGCGAGGAGCUUGCUCUUCUUGGAUGAGUUGCGAACGGGUGAGUAACGCGUAGGUAACCUGCCUUGUAGCGGGGGAUAACUAUUGGAAACGAUAGCUAAUACCGCAUAACAAUGGAUGACACAUGUCAUUUAUUUGAAAGGGGCAAUUGCUCCACUACAAGAUGGACCUGCGUUGUAUUAGCUAGUAGGUGAGGUAAUGGCUCACCUAGGCGACGAUACAUAGCCGACCUGAGAGGGUGAUCGGCCACACUGGGACUGAGACACGGCCCAGACUCCUACGGGAGGCAGCAGUAGGGAAUCUUCGGCAAUGGGGGCAACCCUGACCGAGCAACGCCGCGUGAGUGAAGAAGGUUUUCGGAUCGUAAAGCUCUGUUGUAAGUCAAGAACGGGUGUGAGAGUGGAAAGUUCACACUGUGACGGUAGCUUACCAGAAAGGGACGGCUAACUACGUG
This 497-nucleotide ribosomal RNA is filed under the name uncultured bacterium. RNAcentral describes it as "partial 16S ribosomal RNA". It matches the Rfam family "Bacterial small subunit ribosomal RNA", at positions 28 to 507 of the family's 1533-position model. The record is from RNAcentral.